UAUCCAUGGCUGCUGAGUUGUUCAG
RNAcentral lists this non-coding RNA (25 nucleotides) under Mus musculus (house mouse). The record is from RNAcentral. Lineage: Eukaryota; Metazoa; Chordata; Mammalia; Rodentia; Muridae.